UACGUAGGAUGCAAGCGUUGUCCGGAAUUAUUGGGCGUAAAGAGCGCGCAGGCGGUGUGCCAAGUCAGAUGUGAAAUAUCCCGGCUUAACCGGGAGGGGUCAUUUGAAACUGGUAGACUAGAGUACAGCAGAGGAUAGCGGAAUUCCCGGUGUAGUGGUGAAAUGCGUAGAUAUCGGGAGGAACACCAGUGGCGAAGGCGGCUAUCUGGGCUGAAACUGACGCUGAGGCGCGAAGGCUAGGGGAGCAAACAGG
RNAcentral lists this ribosomal RNA (253 nucleotides) under uncultured bacterium. RNAcentral's name for it is "partial 16S ribosomal RNA". It matches the Rfam family "Bacterial small subunit ribosomal RNA", at positions 524 to 776 of the family's 1533-position model. The record is from RNAcentral.